RNAcentral lists this ribosomal RNA (301 nucleotides) under uncultured soil bacterium. Its description in RNAcentral is "bacterial SSU rRNA". It matches the Rfam family "Bacterial small subunit ribosomal RNA", at positions 26 to 351 of the family's 1533-position model. The record is from RNAcentral.
AGAACGAACGCUGGCGGCAUGCCUAAUACAUGCAAGUCGAACGAACUCUUCGGAGUUAGUGGCGCACGGGUGCGUAACGCGUGGGAAUCUGCCCUUGGGUUCGGAAUAACAGUUGGAAACGACUGCUAAUACCGGAUGAUGACGAAAGUCCAAAGAUUUAUCGCCCAGGGAUGAGCCCGCGUAGGAUUAGCUAGUUGGUGAGGUAAAGGCUCACCGAAGGCGACGAUCCUUAGCUGGUCUGAGAGGAUGAUCAGCCACACGUGGGACUGAGACACGGCCCAGACUCCGUACGGGGAGGCAG